RNAcentral lists this ribosomal RNA (305 nucleotides) under uncultured bacterium. RNAcentral describes it as "bacterial SSU rRNA". It matches the Rfam family "Bacterial small subunit ribosomal RNA", at positions 333 to 657 of the family's 1533-position model. The record is from RNAcentral.
CAUCGCCUCGGAGGCAGCAGUGGGGAAUAUUGCACAAUGGGGGAAACCCUGAUGCAGCGACGCCGCGUGAAGGAAGAAGUAUUUCGGUAUGUAAACUUCUAUCAGCAGGGAAGAAAAUGACGGUACCUGACUAAGAAGCCCCGGCUAACUACGUGUCAGCAGCCGCGGUAAUACGUAGGGGGCAAGCGUUAUCCGGAUUUACUGGGUGUAAAGGGAGCGUAGGCGGUUUAGCAAGUCAGAAGUGAAAGCCCGGGGCUUAACUCCGGGACUGCUUUUGAAACUGUUGAACUAGAUUGCAGGAGAGG